UACGUAGGGACCAAGCGUUGUCCGGAAUCAUUGGGCGUAAAGAGCGUGUAGGCGGCCUGACAGGUCUGCUGUGAAAACUCGAGGCUCAACCUCGAGAUGUCGGCGGAAACCGUCUGGCUAGAGUCCGGAAGAGGAGAGUGGAAUUCCUGGUGUAGCGGUGAAAUGCGCAGAUAUCAGGAAGAACACCUAUGGCGAAGGCAGCUCUCUGGGACGGUACUGACGCUGAGACGCGAAAGCGUGGGGAGCGAACAGG
RNAcentral lists this ribosomal RNA (253 nucleotides) under uncultured bacterium. RNAcentral describes it as "partial 16S ribosomal RNA". It matches the Rfam family "Bacterial small subunit ribosomal RNA", at positions 524 to 776 of the family's 1533-position model. The record is from RNAcentral.